AAAAUCAAAAAUUUGCAAAAUUGAUAGUGUUGUCGCCAUCGACGCGAAAAUAUUGCUCCCUCAUGUGAUUUAUGAAGAGCAAAAGUUGGGUUUGAGUGUGUGGGUGAGGCAUUCAACAGUUCUAAACCGACAAUUUUUUGUUUCCAUC
This is a non-coding RNA of Caenorhabditis elegans, 148 nucleotides long. The record is from Ensembl. NCBI's taxonomy places the organism in Eukaryota, Metazoa, Nematoda, Chromadorea, Rhabditida, Rhabditidae.